Molecule: ribosomal RNA, 200 nt
Filed under: uncultured bacterium
Lineage: Bacteria
Description: partial 16S ribosomal RNA
Rfam family: Bacterial small subunit ribosomal RNA
Source: RNAcentral
GCGAAAGCCUGACGCAGCGACGCCGCGUGAGGGAUGACGGCCUUCGGGUUGUAAACCUCUUUCAGCCCUGACGAAGCGAGAGUGACGGUAGGGGCAGAAGAAGCACCGGCCAACUACGUGCCAGCAGCCGCGGUAAUACGUAGGGUGCAAGCGUUGUCCGGAAUUAUUGGGCGUAAAGAGCUCGUAGGCGGUCUGUCGCG